Molecule: ribosomal RNA, 253 nt
Filed under: uncultured bacterium
Lineage: Bacteria
Description: partial 16S ribosomal RNA
Rfam family: Bacterial small subunit ribosomal RNA
Source: RNAcentral
UACGUAGGGUGCGAGCGUUGUCCGGAAUUAUUGGGCGUAAAGAGCUCGUAGGCGGUCUGUCGCGUCGGUCGUGAAAACUUGGGGCUUAACCCUGAGCUUGCGGUCGAUACGGGCAGACUAGAGGUAUGCAGGGGAGAACGGAAUUCCUGGUGUAGCGGUGAAAUGCGCAGAUAUCAGGAGGAACACCGGUGGCGAAGGCGACACCCUGGACUCAUACUGACACUGAGGUGCGAAAGCGUGGGGAGCAAACAGG